CCUACGGGAGGCAGCAGUGGGGAAUUUUCCGCAAUGGGGGCAACCCUGACGGAGCAAGACCGCGUGGGGGACGAAGGUUUGUGGAUUGUAAACCCCUUUUGAUUGGGAAGAAGACAGUGACGGUACCAAUCGAAUCAGCAUCGGCUAACUCCGUGCCAGCAGCCGCGGUAAUACGGAGGAUGCAAGCGUUAUCCGGAAUUAUUGGGCGUAAAGAGUCCGUAGGUGGAAGUUCAAGUCUGCUGUCAAAGAAUGGAGCUUAACUCCAUAGAGGCAGUGGAAACUGAGCAACUAGAGUGCGGUAGGGGUAGCGGGAAUUCCCAGUGUAGCGGUGAAAUGCGUAGAGAUUGGGAAGAACAUCGGUGGCGAAAGCGCGCUACUGGGCUGUAUCUGACACUCAGGGACGAAAGCUAGGGUAGCGAAAGGGAUUAGAUACCCCAGUAGUC
RNAcentral lists this ribosomal RNA (443 nucleotides) under uncultured cyanobacterium. RNAcentral's name for it is "bacterial SSU rRNA". It matches the Rfam family "Bacterial small subunit ribosomal RNA", at positions 338 to 795 of the family's 1533-position model. The record is from RNAcentral. Lineage: Bacteria; Bacillati; Cyanobacteriota.